RNAcentral lists this ribosomal RNA (253 nucleotides) under uncultured bacterium. Its description in RNAcentral is "partial 16S ribosomal RNA". It matches the Rfam family "Bacterial small subunit ribosomal RNA", at positions 524 to 776 of the family's 1533-position model. The record is from RNAcentral.
UACGUAGGUGGCAAGCGUUGUCCGGAUUUACUGGGCGUAAAGGGCUCGUAGGCGGCCAACUAAGUCAGACGUGAAAUCCCUCGGCUUAACCGGGGAACUGCGUCUGAUACUGGAUGGCUUGAGUUCGGGAGAGGGAUGCGGAAUUCCAGGUGUAGCGGUGAAAUGCGCAGAUAUCAGGAGGAACACCGGUGGCGAAGGCGGUUCUCUGGGCAUGUCCUGACGCUGAGGAGCGAAAGUGUGGGGAGCGAACAGG